GAAAAGCCUGCAUCAUGUGGGAAUAAAUGAGGCUGCAUGUGAUCAAAUACCCGGAAAACAAUGGCGUAAACCAGAGCAGGGGCUGGGGCUCAGCUGUGGCCGGACACCCACCACGUGCCCAUGGGAUGCUUCCAGGUCCCCUUCUAGACCAGCAGAAGCCCAGGACACCUGACCGCCACUGGACAAGCACAUGGGGAAAAUGAGCCCCCCUUCUCCACGGGUUCCCCAACACCUCAGAAGUCCAGGAAGACACAGUGAUGAUUCAUACAUUUUGCCAAAGAGGGAUGAUUUCAUGAAAUCUCCAAAUGAUCACGAUAACAUCCCAGCCAUUAGGGAUACUAAGCCAGCCACCGAAAUUGGCAGAGAAGCCCUCAUCUUUGAGAGGAGUAGGAAGCAACACAUAUACUCUAUGUCCAGAAUUAGAAUCCAUACUGGCAUGCUGUUCCUAUACAUCAACCCGAACCCCAGCCCCCAACCCCACUCACUGGAGGCAGAAUGGUGUGGGUUCAGCCUCAGCUCAGAUGCUCACUAGCCAGAAGACCAGAAAGCACCUACCUCCCUAAGCACCAACCUCUUCAUCUAGAACAUGAAAGUCACAUCCUUCUCCUGCCUCUGUCCCCAAAGUGAGCUAAGCUCAGAAGAGCCAAGCCCAGGAAAGUAUUUAGAAAAUGGAUCCAUUGAACAGCUCUUCCAUUGCAGGUCAGAUUCUUCAAUGAAUUCUUUAAUUGAACCAUUUGUUAACUAAUAUCAUGUGUUGGCUUUUGGUUUUACUAUGUUUUAGUACAAAUAUCCAGGGACAAACUCUUCAGCUGACUACAUCUGAUGACUAAAUUGUUCAAUUGCUUCUGUAAUUUUCUCUAUCCUGGUGAUGACAUCUUGAGAGGUGAAGCCAGCUGUGCUUCUGGGUCAGGUGGGGACUUGGAGAACUUUUCUUUCUAGCUAAAGGAUUGUAAAUGCACCAAUCAGCACUCUGUGUGUAGCUAAAGGAUUGUAAAUGCACCAAUCAGCAUUCUGUAA
RNAcentral lists this long non-coding RNA (1017 nucleotides) under Homo sapiens (human). Its description in RNAcentral is "non-protein coding lnc-GPC1-2:1". The record is from RNAcentral. Lineage: Eukaryota; Metazoa; Chordata; Mammalia; Primates; Hominidae.